Molecule: long non-coding RNA, 1250 nt
Filed under: Anser brachyrhynchus (Pink-footed goose)
Lineage: Eukaryota; Metazoa; Chordata; Aves; Anseriformes; Anatidae
Description: lncRNA (ENSABRG00000001808.1)
Source: RNAcentral
CUUUCUUAAUGCUUUUUCUGAAACUCCUCAGGAGCUCAUGCAAAAUAAAGUGCUGGUUUAGAAGAUGCACUGUACUAUAAUAGAUCUUUCUCUGUUUCACCUUUUAAGGAAUUUAGAUCAGAAAAGCGUAAAAGUCAUAAUGUGAAUUUAGGAGCUUCAGAACUCUUUUGGACCUUGUUUGUUUGUUGAGUUUUGGCUGCCAUUGCCUUAUUCACAUGCAGCCUGGUCUCUGCAGUGUACUGGGAGUUACGUUCACUUCAGCAAAGCACCCUAGUGUGAAUCUGGGAAGAAACUCUUUUGCUGUGAGGGGCUGAUGACCUGUGUUACCAUCACAGAGCAUGUACAGCCAGGAUGAGGGGCUGCCCAGUAUGAGUGUGUGCCUUGGGCCUGGGAGACCUGGGCUCUGCUGCCCCUUGGCCUCAGAGACCUCCUCCUCUUCCUCCCUCACUCUCUGUUCGUGUCCAGAGAAAUGAGACAACUUCCUUGCUUCAGAGGGCUGUUGUAAGGACGAAAUGCAUUAAAGACAGCAAGAUGCUCACACAUUACAGUUUUGGAGGGAGACCAUGGGAUCGUUUAAGCACCUUAGGAAGAGAAGUCGAUUAAUACAGACACAGUUUCACUUUCUUUGAAGUAAAUGUAAAAGGGGAAAAAACGCCCUAUCCUUCAAAAGAGAAAGGAGUGUAAGGUAAGAAAAGGAAAGGCUAUGACUGUGGUGAAGGCUAGCACAGUAUUAUUGUAACACCAGUGUGGGAAUUAGAGGACACCCUACAGCCUAGUCGUAUAUUACAAACAAGAGAGGAGAUUUCAAAGAAACCUUUUAAUCUCCAGAGACAAUUUACAGGCUUCUCACUGCCAGGUACAGAGCACCCAGCCACCCUCUCCCCAUAAUCUCCCACGAGACCUCGCCAUGGCCACGGCUGCCUCCUCAAAGCCACAAGGUACCGGGUGUGGGCGGCAGUGCCAGGGCUGCGCUGCGAAGGCAGCGGGCCCUCUGCCCCUAUCAGCAUUGCCAUCAGCCUGCACCUUCCUGCUGCCUGCGAGCCUGGGGCUGGCUCCUGUGCAGGAGGGAAGUCGGAACGUGCACCCUGGCUCGGUGUCUGCUGCAUUACGGUGUGAGAUUCUUUGCUGCUGCUGCUUUCGAAGGAAAUGUUGGACAGCCUACAUCCUGCAACAUUACUAAUCAGGUAAAUUAUGUCCUUGUUGACCUUCAGGGCUCUCCUCUUUACUAACUGUUCAAAAGUUGUCUCGUU